This 586-nucleotide ribosomal RNA is filed under the name Trichoderma harzianum. RNAcentral's name for it is "eukaryotic LSU rRNA". The stretch from base 196 to 349 matches the Rfam family "5.8S ribosomal RNA". The record is from RNAcentral. Lineage: Eukaryota; Fungi; Ascomycota; Sordariomycetes; Hypocreales; Hypocreaceae.
CUCGACUUACUCCAACCCCAUGUGACGUUACCAAACUGUUGCCUCGGCGGGAUCUCUGCCCCGGGUGCGUCGCAGCCCCGGACCAAGGCGCCCGCCGGAGGACCAACCAAAACUCUUAUUGUAUACCCCCUCGCGGGUUUUUUUAUAAUCUGAGCCUUCUCGGCGCCUCUCGUAGGCGUUUCGAAAAUGAAUCAAAACUUUCAACAACGGAUCUCUUGGUUCUGGCAUCGAUGAAGAACGCAGCGAAAUGCGAUAAGUAAUGUGAAUUGCAGAAUUCAGUGAAUCAUCGAAUCUUUGAACGCACAUUGCGCCCGCCAGUAUUCUGGCGGGCAUGCCUGUCCGAGCGUCAUUUCAACCCUCGAACCCCUCCGGGGGGUCGGCGUUGGGGAUCGGCCCUGCCUUGGCGGUGGCCGUCUCCGAAAUACAGUGGCGGUCUCGCCGCAGCCUCUCCUGCGCAGUAGUUUGCACACUCGCAUCGGGAGCGCGGCGCGUCCACAGCCGUUAAACACCCAACUUCUGAAAUGUUGACCUCGGAUCAGGUAGGAAUACCCGCUGAACUUAAGCAUAUCAAUAAGCCGGGAGGAAA